Molecule: ribosomal RNA, 599 nt
Filed under: uncultured bacterium
Lineage: Bacteria
Description: bacterial SSU rRNA
Rfam family: Bacterial small subunit ribosomal RNA (bases 1-519)
Source: RNAcentral
CCUACGGGAGGCAGCAGUGGGGAAUAUUGGACAAUGGGCGAAAGCCUGAUCCAGCAAUGCCGCGUGAGUGAUGAAGGCCUUAGGGUUGUAAAGCUCUUUUACCAGGGAUGAUAAUGACAGUACCUGGAGAAUAAGCUCCGGCUAACUCCGUGCCAGCAGCCGCGGUAAUACGGAGGGAGCUAGCGUUGUUCGGAAUUACUGGGCGUAAAGAGUACGUAGGCGGUUAUUCAAGUCAGAGGUGAAAGCCCGGGGCUCAACCCCGGAACUGCCUUUGAAACUAGAUAGCUAGAGUCUUGGAGAGGUUAGUGGAAUUCCGAGUGUAGAGGUGAAAUUCGUAGAUAUUCGGAAGAACACCAGUGGCGAAGGCGACUAACUGGACAAGUACUGACGCUGAGGUACGAAAGCGUGGGGAGCAAACAGGAUUAGAUACCCUGGUAGUCCACGCCGUAAACGAUGAUAACUAGUUGUUCGGGGUCACUUGGUGCCUGAGUGACGCAGCUACGCAUUAAGUUAUCCGUCCGUCGGGUAGGUACGGUCGCGAGAUAAACUACGAAGAAGUAGAGGCGUGUAGAGUUGCGAGACGACGACGAGGGAGGAGG